UGGACAGGGGGGUUCCUGCUGACCGGCAGGGCCUGUCCAGCAGGUCGCGCGAAGGCGUGAUCAGUGGUUGUCGCUCGGGGGUGAUCGCCG
RNAcentral lists this small RNA (90 nucleotides) under Streptomyces purpureus. RNAcentral describes it as "che1 RNA". It matches the Rfam family "che1 RNA". The record is from Rfam by way of RNAcentral. RNAcentral also lists the same sequence under 1 other name. Lineage: Bacteria; Bacillati; Actinomycetota; Actinomycetes; Kitasatosporales; Streptomycetaceae.